AAUAAAUGCGUGCGACAGGUCUAAUACAUGCAAGUCGAAUGCGAUUAAAAGAAAUCGCAUGGCGAAAGGGUGCGUAACACGUGAGUACUUACCCAAAUAUAUGGACCAAGCCUUGGAUGGUGAAUGUUCUGAAAAGCAUUACAGCGUAUUUGGAUAGGCUCGCGCAGGAUUAGGUUGUUGGUGAGGUAAAGGCUCACCAAGCCGAUGAUCCUUAGCCGGUCUUCACGGAUGGUCGGCCACACUGGGACUGAGACAAGGCCCAGACUUUUUUUGAAGGCAGCAGUAGAGAAUUUUGUACAAUGCGCGAAAGCGUGAUACAGCUAUGUCGCGUGGAAGGUGUGAGCCAUUUGGUUGUACUCUUCCACUCCUCCCAGAAGACUUAAGACACACUGGGAGAGAGAGCCCCGGCCAAUACUCGUGCCAGCCGCCGCCGUAACAC
This 439-nucleotide ribosomal RNA is filed under the name uncultured bacterium. Its description in RNAcentral is "bacterial SSU rRNA". It matches the Rfam family "Bacterial small subunit ribosomal RNA", at positions 29 to 526 of the family's 1533-position model. The record is from RNAcentral.